Molecule: unclassified non-coding RNA, 298 nt
Filed under: uncultured fungus
Lineage: Eukaryota; Fungi
Also listed under: 1 other name
Description: partial contains 5.8S ribosomal RNA, internal transcribed spacer 2, and large subunit ribosomal RNA
Rfam family: 5.8S ribosomal RNA (bases 1-52)
Source: RNAcentral
AACGCAUCUUGCGCUCCUUGGUAUUCCGAGGAGCAUGCCUGUUUGAGUGUCAUUAAUAUAUCAACCCUCUUCACGUUUUGCAUGUCGAGUGUUGGAUGUGGGAGUUUUUUGCUGGACUCUCUUGAGAGGUCAGCUCUCCUAAAAUACAUUAGCAAAACAAUUUGUUUACUGCUCAUUGGUGUGAUAACUAUCUACGCUAUUGACGGUAAAGCACGGUUUAGCUUCUAACAGUCCAUUGGCUUGGACAAUCUUUUAUCAAUGUGACCUCAAAUCAGGUAGGAUUACCCGCUGAACUUAA